GGGUUGUGAGGUUAAGCGACUAAGCGUACACGGUGGAUGCCCUGGCAGUCAGAGGCGAUGAAGGGCGUGCUAAUCUGCGAUAAGCGCCGGUAAGGUGAUAUGAACCGUUAUAACCGGCGAUACCCGAAUGGGGAAACCCAGUGUGAUUCGUCACACUAUCAUUAACUGAAUCCAUAGGUUAAUGAGGCGAACCGGGGGAACUGAAACAUCUAAGUACCCCGAGGAAAAGAAAUCAACCGAGAUUCCCCCAGUAGCGGCGAGCGAACGGGGAGGAGCCCAGAGCCUGAAUCAGCAUGUGUGUUAGUGGAAGCGUCUGGAAAGGCGCGCGAUACAGGGUGACAGCCCCGUA
RNAcentral lists this ribosomal RNA (349 nucleotides) under Salmonella enterica subsp. enterica serovar Muenchen. Its description in RNAcentral is "partial 23S ribosomal RNA". It matches the Rfam family "Bacterial large subunit ribosomal RNA", at positions 1 to 377 of the family's 2925-position model. The record is from RNAcentral. Lineage: Bacteria; Pseudomonadati; Pseudomonadota; Gammaproteobacteria; Enterobacterales; Enterobacteriaceae. RNAcentral also lists the same sequence under 2 other names.